Molecule: ribosomal RNA, 369 nt
Filed under: Triticum aestivum (bread wheat)
Lineage: Eukaryota; Viridiplantae; Streptophyta; Magnoliopsida; Poales; Poaceae
Description: partial small subunit ribosomal RNA
Source: RNAcentral
AUGGUGGCGCUCUCCGGCGGGCACACUCUGGGCGUGGCGCACUGCCCGUCGUUCACGCCCCGCCUCAAGUUCAAGGCGGCCGUGUUGGACGCCGGAUUCGCGUCGUCACUGGCGGCUACGUGCAGCAAGGGCGGGGACUCCGCGACGGCGACGUUCGACCGGACGAGCACGACAUUCGACGGAGUCUACUUCAAGGAGCUGCAGCAGCGGAGGGGCCUGCUGAGCUCGGACCAGGCGCAGUUCGAGUCGCCGGAGACGCAGCGGCUUGUGAACAUGUUCACCAUGAACCAGGGCUACUUCUUCUAUGUGUUCCAGCAGGGGAUGGGCAAGAUGGGUGCGGGCAAGAGCUUGAGCUCCGUGCAAGGAUAG